CAAAUAUUAUAAUAUAAGAUAGUUAAAAGCAUAAAAACAUUAGAUUAUUAUCAUCUUUCUUAGCCGAAACCAAGAAGGAAGAAAGCCAUUAAAGCUUAGUCAAGUUUCGGUCAUAUUCAAGCUUAAAUUCAAGAUCAAGAAUUAAAGAAAUCAGAUUUGGAUCUGGGAAAGACAAAGGUGGUAGAGUAGCUGAUUUAACGGUCGACGACAUCCGGGAUCUUGAAGUAGUUACGAGCUCGGGGAUCGUCAGUAAAGCUUAUCACACUAUCGACUAACUACGGUAUUUUAUAAAUUGAAAUAUCUUUUGAAAUUAUGGCAUGUAUAGGUUGGGUGGGAAAUAACUUAUUUUAGAAAGUGUAUGUAUUAAAGCCAUGCGAAAAUGGCUUAAGCAUUUUGUAUGUUUGUUAGGUUUUGGUGGAGAUAUGGCUUGAUUAUGUUUUGAUUAUUAUAUAAUCUUUUAUGGAUAGUAUUUAUAAGGUAAGGUAUAUACAUGCUCAUGGUAGUGUUUGAAUUAUAAA
Long non-coding RNA from Gossypium raimondii (Peruvian cotton), 518 nucleotides. RefSeq lists it as uncharacterized. The transcript has 3 exons. NCBI's taxonomy places the organism in Eukaryota, Viridiplantae, Streptophyta, Magnoliopsida, Malvales, Malvaceae. The record is from RefSeq and is a predicted model, not a curated record.